This 336-nucleotide small nuclear RNA is filed under the name Erinaceus europaeus (western European hedgehog). RNAcentral describes it as "7SK RNA". It matches the Rfam family "7SK RNA". From Rfam's summary of the family: 7SK was discovered as an abundant small nuclear RNA in the mid-70s but a possible function has only recently been suggested. Two independent studies have found that 7SK RNA binds the CDK9/cyclin T complex (known as elongation factor P-TEFb). P-TEFb activates transcription by phosphorylating the C-terminal domain of RNA polymerase II. Lineage: Eukaryota; Metazoa; Chordata; Mammalia; Eulipotyphla; Erinaceidae. The record is from Rfam by way of RNAcentral.
GGAUGUGAGGGCGAUCUGGCUGCGGCAUCUAUCAUCCCAUUGAUUGCCAGGGUUGAUUCGGCUGAUGUAGCUGGCUAGGCAGGUGUCCCCUUCCUCCCUCACUGCUCCAUGUGCUCCCUCCCGAAGCUGUGCGCUCGGUCGAAGAGGACGGCCUUCUCCGAAUAGAGAUGGACCGGUCUUGGUCUUCGGUCGAGGGUAUACGAAUAGCUGCGCUCCCCUGCUAGAACCUCCAAACAAGCUCUCAAGGACCUGGCUUCAAAUCUCAGAUCCCCACCUGCAGGAGGAAAGCUUUACAAGUGGUGAAGCAGUUCAGCAGGUGUCUCUCUGUCUCUCUCC